AGCGAACGCUGGCGGCAGGCUUAACACAUGCAAGUCGAGCGGGCGUAGCAAUACGUCAGCGGCAGACGGGUGAGUAACGCGUGGGAACGUACCUUUGGUUUGGAACAACACAGGGAAACUUGUGCUAAUACCGGAUAAGCCCUUACGGGGAAAGAUUUAUCGCCGAAAGAUCGGCCCGCGUCUGAUUAGCUAGUUGGUGAGGUAACGGCUCACCAAGGCGACGAUCAGUAGCUGGUCUGAGAGGAUGAUCAGCCACAUUGGGACUGAGACACGGCCCAAACUCCUACGGGAGGCAGCAGUGGGGAAUAUUGGACAAUGGGCGCAAGCCUGAUCCAGCCAUGCCGCGUGAGUGAUGAAGGCCCUAGGGUUGUAAAGCUCUUUUGUGCGGGAAGAUAAUGACGGUACCGCAAGAAUAAGCCCCGGCUAACUUCGUGCCAGCAGCCGCGG
RNAcentral lists this ribosomal RNA (447 nucleotides) under uncultured bacterium. RNAcentral describes it as "bacterial SSU rRNA". It matches the Rfam family "Bacterial small subunit ribosomal RNA", at positions 29 to 520 of the family's 1533-position model. The record is from RNAcentral.